This 635-nucleotide ribosomal RNA is filed under the name uncultured bacterium. RNAcentral describes it as "bacterial SSU rRNA". It matches the Rfam family "Bacterial small subunit ribosomal RNA", at positions 338 to 978 of the family's 1533-position model. The record is from RNAcentral.
CCUACGGGAGGCAGCAGUGGGGAAUUUUGGACAAUGGGCGAAAGCCUGAUCCAGCAAUGCCGCGUGCAGGAAGAAGGCCUUCGGGUUGUAAACUGCUUUUGUACGGAGCGAAACGGUCUGCUUUAAUACAGUGGGCUAAUGACGGUACCGUAAGAAUAAGCACCGGCUAACUACGUGCCAGCAGCCGCGGUAAUACGUAGGGUGCGAGCGUUAAUCGGAAUUACUGGGCGUAAAGCGUGCGCAGGCGGUUAUAUAAGACAGUUGUGAAAUCCCCGGGCUCAACCUGGGAAUUGCAUCUGUGACUGUAUAGCUAGAGUACGGUAGAGGGGGAUGGAAUUCCGCGUGUAGCAGUGAAAUGCGUAGAUAUGCGGAGGAACACCGAUGGCGAAGGCAAUCCCCUGGACCUGUACUGACGCUCAUGCACGAAAGCGUGGGGAGCAAACAGGAUUAGAUACCCUGGUAGUCCACGCCCUAAACGAUGUCAACUGGUUGUUGGGUGCAUUAGUACUCAGUAACGAAGCUAACGCGUGAAGUUGACCGCCUGGGGAAGUACGGCCGCGAAGGUUGAAACGUUCAAAGUUAGAAGUUGGACGGCGUUGGAGAGUUCGACCGAGGCACGACGGAGGGUUAGGAGG